This 442-nucleotide ribosomal RNA is filed under the name uncultured bacterium. RNAcentral's name for it is "partial 16S ribosomal RNA". It matches the Rfam family "Bacterial small subunit ribosomal RNA", at positions 338 to 795 of the family's 1533-position model. The record is from RNAcentral.
CCUACGGGAGGCUGCAGUAGGGAAUCUUUCACAAUGGGCGAAAGCCUGAUGGAGCAACGCCGCGUGCAGGAUGAAGGCCUUCGGGUUGUAAACUGCUUUUAUAAGCGAGAAAGAUGAUGGUAACUUAUGAAUAAGGAUCGGCUAACUACGUGCCAGCAGCCGCGGUCAUACGUAGGAUCCGAGCAUUAUCCGGAGUGACUGGGUGUAAAGAGUUGCGUAGGUGGCAUAAUAAGUAGCUAGUGAAAUCUGGUGGCUCAACCAUUCAGACUAUUAGCUAAACUGUUAAGCUCGAGACCGUUAGGGGUAACUGGAAUUUCUAGUGUAGGAGUGAAAUCCGUAGAUAUUAGAAGGAACACCAAUCGCGUAGGCAGGUUGCUGGGACGGUUCUGCCACUCAGGCACGAAAGCGUCGGGAGCAAACGGGAUUAGAUACCCGGGUAGUC